UUUUAGUACACUUAUCACGUCCUCAUAGAAAAAUUAUCAUCCCGAUCCGCAAAAGUUGGAGAAAAAAUUACGCAUUAUUAGGUAAUUAUUGUAUUGCUUCACGCUCCGUGCAACCAGAACGCUUCAUAUAAGGAGAAAAAUGGUAUUCUUAUCCAGCGAGAAUAAUUUCAUAAGUUCAAAUCCAUAGAAGCUCUCUCAUAAAACUCUUUGUGAUGUCAACCAACGACACGGAAAGCGACCAUUCAUCUCACGAUCAUCAGUUCUGGACUAUAACUGAUAUUAUAUUCGUUAUCCUGAGCAUAUUCCCGACAAUCUGCGUGAUCAUUCAUAUAUACAAGUUUUUCCGGACUAAGACGUCACAAAGUCUGUUAACCAAAUACCUUACUUUUUAUUGUUUUUUCUUACUGUUGAUCUACAUUUUGACUGCGGUAAAGGCAUACUGGAAUAUUUGGCCUACAUGUAUCAUACUUAUGAUAUAUUUGAUAAUGGUAUCCGCAUUCGUCAAAUUUAUAAUGGCUCUCGAUCUAUUCUGGUGUUUUCGCCAAAUCGCCUUCUAUCAGCGAACCCCUUUUUCGACCACUCAUAAUAAAAAACUUAUUGUUUACUGUCUGCUUGGUGCUGGUGUACCAUUACUUUACUCGGCGAUUUGGUUCAAAUUAUGCAACCCACGAGAACAUGGAUGCGGUACAAUAAACUCGUAUUUUGGACCAUCCGUAACAACGAGAAUUAUUCGUAUCGUGCGUUUAUUUUUGAUUAUUGCAGCAUUCUGGUGCAUUAAAUCUACUGGUAUGAACAGACAAGAGUUAUGGUCAAAAUCCAGUCUGCAUAUUCGUAUUCUUACAAUGCUAGGUGGGUUUUCUUCCGCCAUAACAGUUCUGGAAAUAAUAAUUUCGAUGACGAUACAGGAUAAAUUCGAUAAACACUGGAAGGAUGAUCAUUGUAUGGAGAAUGUGUUUUUACGAAUAAACUGGUUCGGGUGUAUUCUCGAAGGAGCGAUUAUUCGGAUGUUACUCGCGUUUAAAAAGGAAACAUUUCAGCCUGUUUCUAAUACUAUGAACAUCCCUAGUUCAUCGAUUGUACAUAUAUAAUUCGUGGAAGAGCCAUUUU
Molecule: long non-coding RNA, 1107 nt
Organism: Planococcus citri (citrus mealybug)
Lineage: Eukaryota; Metazoa; Arthropoda; Insecta; Hemiptera; Pseudococcidae
Exons: 2
Source: RefSeq, a predicted model, not a curated record